This 528-nucleotide ribosomal RNA is filed under the name Candidatus Mycoplasma haematobovis. RNAcentral's name for it is "bacterial SSU rRNA". It matches the Rfam family "Bacterial small subunit ribosomal RNA", at positions 377 to 924 of the family's 1533-position model. Lineage: Bacteria; Bacillati; Mycoplasmatota; Mollicutes; Mycoplasmatales; Mycoplasmataceae. The record is from RNAcentral.
GAAAGUCUGAUGGAGCAAUACCAUGUGAACGAUGAAGGUCUUUUUGAUUGUAAAGUUCUUUUAUGAGGGAUAACAACUGAUAGUACCUCAUGAAUAAGUGACAGCAAACUAUGUGCCAGCAGCUGCGGUAAUACAUAGGUCGCAAGCAUUAUUCGGAUUUAUUGGGCGUAAAGCAAGCGCAGGCGGAUGUGUAAGUUCUGUGUUAAAAGUAGCUACUUAAUAGUUGUUUGCACCGAAUACUACAUGUCUAGAAUGUGGUAGGAAGUUUUGGAAUUAAACAUGGAGCGGUGGAAUGUGUAGAUAUGUUUAAGAACACCGGAGGCGAAGGCGAAAACUUAGGCCAUAAUUGACGCUUAGGCUUGAAAGUGUGGGGAGCAAAUGGGAUUAGAUACCCCAGUAGUCCACACCGUAAACGAUGGGUAUUAGGUAUUGGGGUUUGAGCCUCAGUGCUGUAGCUAACGUGUUAAAUACCCCGCCUGGGUAGUACAUAUGCAAAUAUGAAACUCAAAGGAAUUGACGGGGACCUGA